CCUGCAUUUACCUUGGGACACACACACACAGACUGAACGCCAUAUAAGGAGGUCGAGAUUAUGAUGUAUAUACUCUCGGGCUUACGCAAACACUCUCUCUCUCUCUCUCUCUCUCUCUCUCUCUCUCUCUCUCUCUCUCUCUCUCUCUCUCUCUCUCUCUCUCCCCCAUCAAUGCAAGGCCACGUGGUUCUGCAAGCCUGGCACGCCGACUAAGCCAUGGACGUUUGUAAACAGAACAUCACAUUACACUCCACCUCACGUCACCUCACCUCACAGCCUGCCUACACACACACAAACACACACACACAUGAACCCCCAUCACCCAUGUCCUCACAGAUAAUUCCCCAAGUACAUUUUUUUGAGAGGCACAGAAGCAAGGGAAGGAACCAGGAUCUUGCGACUAAACUUGUGACUAGACUUGCCCAUAGACGGAUAUAAAGGUCAGUGGAUACGCUGGAGAAUAAGGUCAUUUAAGGUCGGUAUUGUUAGACGCUUCCACCUCUCACAUGAGCUAUUUUUAAAGGACGAAAAUGAGAUCAGUCGGGUUGUAAUGAGUGUUUCUGUAGGUUCAUGGUACAGAAGAAGGGCCAGUCUAUACCAGUGUCAAGCUACUCCUGGAAAGGCCCCAAACUCAAACACACGUCUAAUCUAAUAUGUGAGCUUGGACGCGGAAAUGUUUUAAUAAUAAGGCCUUAAGACUUUAGCCUGUUUAUAUUGGCUUUGUUUUUUCGUCUGUCUCUCUGAAGUAGACGGAUUUCAUUUUUUUUUUUUUUACAGUAGAGGAAACAGUCCAAGGGCAAAAAAUAAAAAAAGGAAACAAUAAUGAAAAAAAGCCCGCUAUUCACUGCUCCUACAAAAGUCAAGAGGAGUGGCCGAAAGAUAGGUCAAUUUCGGGAGGAGAGGUGUCCUGCUACCCUGAGAAGAUAGACAUUGAUGUACUAGUGUGUGAAAUGCUGAAAAAACCGCUCGAUUCCUUGAUUAUACAGCGUUAAGAUACGUGUUCUAAGGUUGGCGUUUAUAUUGGCUUUGUUUUCUCGUCUGUCUCUCUGAAGUAGAUGGACUUUAAAUGUAACCAAUAAGGAGAAGAAAGACAUUGAUGUACUAGUGUGUGAAAUGCUGAUUAAAAAAAAACCGCUCGAUUCUUUGAUUAUACAGUGUUAAGAUAUGUGUUCUUAGGUUGGUGUUUAUAUUGGUUUUGUUAUUCGUCUGUCUCUCUGAAGCAGAUGGACUUUAAAUGUAACCAAUAAGGAGAAGAAAGACAGUGAUGUACUAGUGUGUGAAAUGCUGAAAAAAACCCGCUCGAUUCCUAGAUUAUACAGUGUUAAGAUACGUGUUCUAAGGCUGGCGUUUAUAUUGGCUUUGUUUUCUCGUCUGUCUCUCUGAAGUAGAUGGACUUUAAAUGUAACCAAUAAGGAGAAGAAAGACAUUGACGAAAUGCUAAAAAAAAACGCUCGAUUUUUAGAUUAUACAGCGUUAAGAUACGUGUUCUGAGGUUGGCGUUAAUGUUGGCUUUGUUUUCUCGUCUGUCUCUCUGAAGUAGAUGGACUUUAAAUGUAACCAAUAAGGAGAAGAAAGACAUUGACGUACUAGUGUGUGACAUGCUAAAAACAGCGCUCGAUACCUUGUUUAUACAGUUAAGAUACGUGUUCUAAGCUUGUACAAAAUCUGAAAGCCGUGUUGCUACUCCUUCAAACUUGACAUAUAUACUAGUUUGUGAAUGCUAAAUAAACCUCUAUUCCUAGAUUACAAAAUGUCAAACUACGUGUUCCAAGGUUGUAAAAAUGAUCAGCUCAGUGUUGUCAAGCCGUAGCGAUGCCAGGAGCUCCUUGUUUUGCCGCGCGGCCCAACAAGGAAUGCUGACCCAGUGUGAUGACAUGAUGAUUGGCUUAAUAAACUACGGGUUCCAAGGUUGUAAAAAUGCUAGGUCAGUGUUGUCAGGCCGUAGCGAUGCCAGGAGCUCCUCGUUUUGCCGCGCGGCCCAACAAGGAAUGCUGACCCAGUGUGGUGACAUGAUGAUUGGCUUAAUAAACUACGGGUUCCAAGGUUGUAAAAAUGCUAGGUCAGUGUUGUCAAGCCGUAGCGAUGCCAGGAGCUCCUUGUUUUGCCGCGCGGCCCAACAAGGAAUGCUGACCCAGUGAGCCGAUUUCACAGUCCAACACGGUGUCUUCGUAACAGCCCGAACCAAACUAUAGAAUCCCAUACAAUCCAAAA
Long non-coding RNA from Eriocheir sinensis (Chinese mitten crab), 2211 nucleotides. RefSeq lists it as uncharacterized. The record is from RefSeq and is a predicted model, not a curated record. The transcript is spliced from 3 exons. Lineage: Eukaryota; Metazoa; Arthropoda; Malacostraca; Decapoda; Varunidae.